RNAcentral lists this long non-coding RNA (210 nucleotides) under Trifolium pratense (red clover). RNAcentral describes it as "long non-coding RNA (TPRA_LNC011615)". The record is from RNAcentral. Lineage: Eukaryota; Viridiplantae; Streptophyta; Magnoliopsida; Fabales; Fabaceae.
CUUCAUCGAUCAUCUUGAAGAUCUUGUCUGCUUUUUAUAUAGCAUUGGCAUCAAUAUACUUCACAAGUACGGUUCCCCUGACUAUUCACCGAGAAAUUAAUUAUUGUCUUCCUCUUGUCGUUCCACCCAUCCGUCAUUAUUGUGCAACCUGUUUUCUUCCAUGUAGCUCUGUGGACUCUCAAUUACUUGUUUUUUGACUCUAGAAAUAAC